GGCCGGCGGGGCUGUAAAGCAGGAAUCAGCCUCUGCCUAAUCCGGACCUGGGGUCAAUACGAGCCCAAACAAUGGGUUUUGCACUGUUGCCCAGGCUGGAGUACACUGGUGCAAUCUGGGCUUACUGCAGCCUCCCCCGUGGUUCAAGUGAUUCUCCUGCCUCAGCCUCCCAAGCAGCUGGGAUUACAGUGAACUGGGAUGGAAUACCAGAGAAAGAGAACACGUUGUCAAGACAGUAAAUCAAAAAUAAAAUUACAUCCUGGAAAAAUGACAGAGAUUAUUGCCUCCCUUAAAACUCUGAAGGAUGCAGAAAUAAGGAUCAUUUGUUCAACUCAGCCACUGUGCUGUGAAAAAUGCCAACAUUUCCAAUGAAGAGACCACAUGGAGAAACACGUAGAGAGGAACCAAGGCCCUUAGCUGAUAGCCAGCAUUAGGCAUCAAGCGUGUGAAUGAAUGAAGCUUUAGACGAUUCCUGCUCUCUGUCAGUAAGUCUUCCACUUGUGACCCCAGACAUGGUAGAGGAGAUACAAGCCGUCUUCACUGUGCCUGUUUGGAUUCCUGAGUCACAGAAACUGUGAAAGAUAAGUGAGUAUUGUUGCUUUAAGCCACUAUGUUUUGUGGUAAUUUGUUACUCAGUGAUAGAUAAUGAAUACACUUGUACUUGGUAGACUGGAAUAGUGACUUGUAAUAUAUUUUUUAAAAAAUCAUAGAUUCAUUAGAAAAUUUGAUGAAAACUAAAGUGACCUCCAUGACCCCCAUAUUCUGGUGUUCAUACCCAUGUAUAAUCUCCUUCUCUUAGGUGUGGGCAGGACAUUUGGCUUGUUUAUAACCAAUAGAAUAUGGCAAAAGCUUUGAGCUGUCACUUCAGUGAUUAUGUUACCUUAUAUAAGACUUUCUCUUGCUAGCAGACUCACUCUAGGGUCUUGCUUUCCUGGUUGGUUUUGAUGAACCAAGCUGCCAUGAAUCUUACAACCACAAGGAAAUGAAUUCUGCCAACAGCCAGAGUGAACUUGUAAGCAGACCCCAGUUGAGCCUGAAGAUGAGAACAGAGGCCUAGCUCACACUUUGAUGGCAGUGUCACAGAGAAAAUUGCUAAGCCAUGCAUAGACUUACUGAACCACAUAAACUGUGAGAUAAUAAAUGUAUGUGUUAUUUAAGCCAUUACAAUUGUGCUAAUUUGUUAUACAGCAUAGAAAACUAACACAAAAGUGAUGGAUCCUCUCCAAGAAAAAUGUAGAGACUCACAUAUACAUAGAAUUCUUAUGCAAUAUUUUUGGGUGUUGCUGGACCCCUGAUUUCCAUGAAUGGUGCCUAGUUUAAGAACCACUGCUCUAGAAUGUUUGUCCUGCAGUAACGUGCAGAAGAGUGCAAUGCCUAGAAAAUUUCCUUUGUGAUGUUUUGUAUUAAAUAUUUUAUUUACCUGCUUAAUUGUUCAAUAUCUUAUCACUGAGUAUUUUCCACUUGAAUACUUGCAGAAGAUUGAAUUUCUCUUCUGCAUCUUUGGAGGUAGAUCAUUGGAUCAGCAUCAUAUUAUUUUUCCAGUCAUAGAAGUAAUCCACUCUCAGUCAGUUUCCCCACCUCCCACUCCUCUCUUUCAGGAGAAAAAACUAGGUGGAAGAUCAGCAGACAUCAGUAAACAGUAGACAAACAGGAACAGUAGGUAGAGUGAUGCUAUUGAGUUAAUUAUUGCAUGGAUACUAAUGAAUACAACUCAGUAAAUGGUUUACAUUUUUUUCUAUUUUUCAUUGGCA
Molecule: long non-coding RNA, 1751 nt
Filed under: Pan troglodytes (chimpanzee)
Lineage: Eukaryota; Metazoa; Chordata; Mammalia; Primates; Hominidae
Description: lincRNA
Source: RNAcentral